GCUUCUACGUCUUGUGUAUAAUUACGUCAGCGGCCCUAUUGGCUUUCAAUUUUCAUCCAUCACAUCCGCACCACGUUCGAUUUCCGCGUGUAUUGGUGUUAACCUUGGUUUAGAAUUCAGUUAUCGCUCUUCGAAUCAGGUGAAUAAAAAUAUGAAAUACUCGGUAUAGAGCGUUGACUGUAUACGACGAGCCGCAGGGGGUUGCAAAUUUGGGACCCCUUCCGACUCGGGUAAAUACCCGAACAAUGCUGAAUGGGCGCAUGUUAUCGGGCGCUGGAGUCUCCGAGCACGUCCCCCAGCACGUUUCGGGAUCCUAAAACAAUUUACGACGAUAAUGAAAAUAAUGAUAAUAACCCAACCUAACCUAGAACCACGUUGCGAAUCCUUCGUCAAUCAAUAUCCUUGAAUAUAAUCGCGACUUCCUGCCGCGGCCGGGAAAACUCGCUCGAAAUAAUCCCUGAUCCAUUUUAUCGGAAUAUAUGAAUACCUGAAAAUUCUUAAAAUCCAUUUUUGACAUUCUAUGUAGAAUUUUACAUUCUCCACGGCGAUUCUUUCAGCUCAUAUCGUUAAAUAAUAUGCUGCGGUGCAGACUUCAAGCGCAAUAAGGGUUGCGCUUUGUGUUGCGGUAUAUUCGAGUAAACUGAAGAUUUAGGUAGUUGAGCCGGGCCGGGCGUUUUCUGGAGCCCGUUCUUCGAUCGAUGCGACCUACGGCAUAGUUUGUGCCCACACAUUGUACGUCAUGUAUACGUACGCACAUGUAUACAUGCCACAGCCCCGCGCGAUAUACGCGACUCAAAGGCCAGAGGUAGUCUUGCAAAGCGAGUACCGGUGAGUACCGAGAGGCGCAACACGAUAAGUUCAGCUAUAUACCUCGCGGCAAUUCACUACGCUAUAAAGACCAUAGUAUACGUAUUUACACACCUGCCUUCCUUUCAUGCACCCUCAAGUUUUUUGUACACCGCGUUCGUGACAACCGCCGCUUAGAUUUCUCUUGAAUAAAAGGUCCUCUCGGGUGGCUCUCAUGUCUCCUUAUUUUACCGUAUAGCAGUCGUAUUAACGUUUCGAGCUACUCUAUGUACUAUUAGGAACAUGGAAAUCUGGUCGAAAAUGUCAUUCAUACCGUGGCUGGUAACGUCGUAUGUGGAACGGUUCUUCUACUUCUAGGGGAAUGUAAAUUGAAAAAAAUAGUAAGUCAUUCGUUACAAUAUGUGGAUCACGUAAUCAGCGACGUCCAGACUAACAAACCAACGUCGAAAGCCGAGCUUAUUUUCCCGGCGGACAUUGCAGAGUUUUGAUUUCAACUGGCAAUGAGAAGAAACUACAGAAAUUGUUUCGGCAGAGCGAUCAUUCGUUUAUGUUCGACUUCGAUUCGGGACUGAUUAUUUCUAGGAUCACAAGUUCGAACGGGGCGGUCUUCUGCCGCCCGUUUGUAUCAACGGAGUAUGACGAAGAAACAUAAAGAUUGGCGGCGCUUCCGUACAGCAAAACUGUUCAUGAGUGAAAGCUGAACCAAAAAUUCCGUCAGUUCGAUCGAUUGCUGGGAUGAUGCGGCGCGUAAUAAUCGGCUUCAAAGGAUUUCGCCCUUCCAAUCGAAUAAACAAACGGGCCGAGCGAAGAAAAUGGCGUAUGUAUAGGAAACUGUGGACCUCUCCGCUUUGUAGUUUGUAUCGUACGUCACGAUAGAAGCUCCUGCACCUGCGCACUGGCAAAGCUCACUCUUCAAACGCCUCGGCAUUGAACUCGUUGCAUCGUAAAACUUCAAUUAUCAGCUGCUUCAGGUAAGGGUGGGGGAAAUCGACUACUGAGAAAAAAUUGUGAAAAAACAGCGACCACAAAAACUAUAAUUUUCAAGAAAAUGUGUUAUAGCGUUUUGCCGCUAUUCAUCAGCUUCAUCGUCUAGAAUUUGGGCGCCAAAUACUAAAACCAAUUGGUUAAAAAAGUAUUGGACUCUGAAAAAGCGGACGGAGUUUAGCAAUUUGCUGGAGUUUUCACAAAUUCUGGGAUAAGUCCUACUGAUUGGAAAUGUUGGAUGAAAUCAAUCACCUAAAAAGUCGAAUGAAAUUUAUAAUAUGAGUUGGCGAAAAUUUCCAAUUGAGAAGACCAAUUUUAGUUGGAGAUUUCAGGUGUACGUACAUCAAUCGCUAACCGUGUGCGUGACUGAUAUAUGCUCGCUGAUUGUUCAACUAUUUUCAGUUCGAGUAUCGCAGUAGCUCGAAGACCAUAAGGUUUUCAGACACGGUGAAGUUAUUUGUAAAAGAUUAUUAUAGCUGAACUGUAAUUUGAAAAUGUUUAUUUAUCGAUGUGUUGUAUGUAUAAUAUUGCUAGGAUGAGUUUAUUCUAUAAACGAUUAUGAUGUCAAUUAAAUUAUCCCUAUUAAAUACUUACAGCGAUUUUUGAACAGUAAUAUUAUAUAUAUAUAUUGAACUCUAUCGUAU
Molecule: long non-coding RNA, 2435 nt
Organism: Athalia rosae (coleseed sawfly)
Lineage: Eukaryota; Metazoa; Arthropoda; Insecta; Hymenoptera; Athaliidae
Exons: 3
Source: RefSeq, a predicted model, not a curated record